Molecule: transfer RNA, 544 nt
Filed under: uncultured cyanobacterium
Lineage: Bacteria; Bacillati; Cyanobacteriota
Description: partial 16S-23S ribosomal RNA intergenic spacer
Rfam family: tRNA (bases 212-284)
Source: RNAcentral
CAGGGAGACAACAAAAUGUUUAAUAUUAUUAUUUUGUCACCUUAGGUCGAUCGGUAUCUCACGUUUUUAAUUUAUUAAGAAUUUCACUUCCUAAGUUUUUCUAGGUCACACCCAUUAUUUUCCCUGGGCCAUUAGCUCAGGUGGUUAGAGCGCACCCCUGAUAAGGGUGAGGUCCCUGGUUCAAGUCCAGGAUGGCCCAUAUCUCUAUGUUGGGGGUAUAGCUCAGUUGGUAGAGCGCCUGCUUUGCAAGCAGGAUGUCAGCGGUUCGAGUCCGCUUACCUCCACUGAUUACCACCUCUUCCAUAUUUUGUAGAAAAGGAAAUGUUUUGAGUUGUGAUCAAAUUCUGUACGAAUCUAGCUUCCUAAUGAAAUCAUUAAGAUGCUGGACUCAUUGAAUUAAUUUCUUUGUUUUCAGAGAACCUUGACAACUGCAUAGAUUAUUUUUGAAAAGACAAUAAGCAUCUCUAAUGAUGCAGAUUUAUUAUUUGUGCGAAUGCAUUAAAUAACAAUUCUAUUAAGCUGAUGCUUCAUUUUUGAAGUUAUU